CUUUCUUUGCUGGCGACCGGCGCACGGGUGAGUAACACGUAUCCAACCUGCCCUUUACUCGGGGAUAGCCUUUCGAAAGAAAGAUUAAUACCCGAUAGUAUAAUGAUUCCGCAUGGUUUCAUUAUUAAAGGAUUCCGGUAAAGGAUGGGGAUGCGUUCCAUUAGGUUGUUGGUGAGGUAACGGCUCACCAAGCCUUCGAUGGAUAGGGGUUCUGAGAGGAAGGUCCCCCACAUUGGAGCUGAGACACGGUCCAA
This 254-nucleotide ribosomal RNA is filed under the name uncultured bacterium. Its description in RNAcentral is "partial 16S ribosomal RNA". It matches the Rfam family "Bacterial small subunit ribosomal RNA", at positions 79 to 334 of the family's 1533-position model. The record is from RNAcentral.